GACUCUUCUAUGGCACAAUGGGGCAGUGUGUCUGGCUGUCAACCAAAAGGUUGCUGGUUCGAGCCCACCCAGGGACA
This 77-nucleotide transfer RNA is filed under the name Podarcis lilfordi (Lilford's wall lizard). RNAcentral's name for it is "tRNA.Asp". The record is from RNAcentral. Lineage: Eukaryota; Metazoa; Chordata; Lepidosauria; Squamata; Lacertidae.